AUGGCAAGGGAAACCAUCCUCAUCAGCAGUGAAGAGAGUGAUCACCGGACCACCUCAGAUGAUGCUUCAGAUGGCACUUCACAUGGGAGUGACGGCUAUAGCGGUGAUGACGGCACCUCUAGCGACUAUGACACUGAUGAUAGUUCUGAUGGAGAUGGAGAUGUGGACCACGAUCCUAUCUUGGCACUACGGGGUCCGGGAUACCUUGUGAGAAAAGGAACUUUCGAGGAUCGCAUCUUCUACGGCAACCAUUUAACGCUAAACGAGGAUCAGUGGGACUGUCUCAAAUCCAUAGUAAAGCAGUGCCAACCUCCCAUACCAUACUAUGUCAGCACCGUCACUCGCUCGGCAGUCAUCAGAGGGAAGAGCAAGAUGUGCUUCUCAAAGGAUUACAGUCAGGCCUACCUCAAAGAUUAUCUGCGAAAGCCCAUGGCUGGUCAGAUAAUAAAAAUGUCUUGUUCAAGAUGGGCAAGAAGGAUGGGCGUGCGAUCAUGA
RNAcentral lists this ribosomal RNA (495 nucleotides) under Triticum aestivum (bread wheat). RNAcentral's name for it is "partial small subunit ribosomal RNA". Lineage: Eukaryota; Viridiplantae; Streptophyta; Magnoliopsida; Poales; Poaceae. The record is from RNAcentral.